This 489-nucleotide ribosomal RNA is filed under the name Papilio paris dempo. RNAcentral's name for it is "partial 16S ribosomal RNA". Lineage: Eukaryota; Metazoa; Arthropoda; Insecta; Lepidoptera; Papilionidae. The record is from RNAcentral.
AACAUGUCUUUUUGUAAAUAUUUUAAAGUUUAAUCUGCCCACUGAUNAAAUUAUUAAAGGGCUGCAGUAUUUUGACUGUACAAAGGUAGCAUAAUCAUUAGUCUCUUAAUUGGUGACUUGUAUGAAAGAUUGGAUGAAAUAUAUACUGUCUCUAAUUAAUUUAUAAAAUUUAAUUUUUUAGUAAAAAAGCUAAAAUAAGUUUAAAAGACGAGAAGACCCUAUAGAGUUUAAUAAUUUAUUUAAUUAUUAUUAAUAUAUAAAUUUUAAAAUUAAAAUUAAAUAAAUUAUUUUGUUGGGGUGAUAGAAAAAUUAAAUUAACUUUUUUUUUAUUUUAUACAUAAAUUUAUGAAUAGAUGAUCCAUUAAUAAUGAUUAAAAGAAAAAAUUACCUUAGGGAUAACAGCGUAAUUUUUUUUUUUAGUUCAAAUAGGAAAAAAAGUUUGCGACCUCGAUGUUGGAUUAAGAUAAAAUUUAAAUGCAAAAGUUAAAA